UCCUUGGUAGCCUAGUGGACAGGACUCUGGGCUUUCACUCCAUGGCCUAGGUUCAAUCCCUGGUCCAGGAA
This 71-nucleotide transfer RNA is filed under the name Ovis aries (sheep). It matches the Rfam family "tRNA". From Rfam's summary of the family: Transfer RNA (tRNA) molecules are approximately 80 nucleotides in length. Their secondary structure includes four short double-helical elements and three loops (D, anti-codon, and T loops). Lineage: Eukaryota; Metazoa; Chordata; Mammalia; Artiodactyla; Bovidae. The record is from Rfam by way of RNAcentral.